AUACGGAGGGGGUUAGCGUUGUUCGGAAUUACUGGGCGUAAAGCGCACGUAGGCGGAUUGGAAAGUUGGGGGUGAAAUCCCAGGGCUCAACCCUGGAACUGCCUCCAAAACUAACAGUCUAGAGUUCGAGAGAGGUGAGUGGAAUUCCAAGUGUAGAGGUGAAAUUCGUAGAUAUUUGGAGGAACACCAGUGGCGAAGGCGGCUCACUGGCUCGAUACUGACGCUGAGGCGCGAAAGCGUGGGUAGCAAACAGGAUUAGAAACCCUAGUAGUCC
RNAcentral lists this ribosomal RNA (274 nucleotides) under uncultured bacterium. Its description in RNAcentral is "partial 16S ribosomal RNA". It matches the Rfam family "Bacterial small subunit ribosomal RNA", at positions 523 to 796 of the family's 1533-position model. The record is from RNAcentral.